This 1284-nucleotide ribosomal RNA is filed under the name Vibrio parahaemolyticus. RNAcentral's name for it is "partial 23S ribosomal RNA". It matches the Rfam family "Bacterial large subunit ribosomal RNA", at positions 191 to 1531 of the family's 2925-position model. Lineage: Bacteria; Pseudomonadati; Pseudomonadota; Gammaproteobacteria; Vibrionales; Vibrionaceae. The record is from RNAcentral.
AACUGAAACAUCUAAGUACCCCGAGGAAAAGAAAUCAACCGAGAUUCCGAAAGUAGCGGCGAGCGAAAUUGGACUAGCCCUUAAGCUUUACACGCGUUAGACGAACGGUCUGGAAAGUCCGACGAUACAGGGUGAUAGUCCCGUAGUUGACGACGUGUGUUCAGUGAAAUCGAGUAGGGCGGGACACGUGAUAUCCUGUCUGAAUAUGGGGGGACCAUCCUCCAAGGCUAAAUACUACUGACUGACCGAUAGUGAACCAGUACCGUGAGGGAAAGGCGAAAAGAACCCCUGUGAGGGGAGUGAAAUAGAACCUGAAACCGUGUACGUACAAGCAGUAGGAGCAGGCUUUGUCCUGUGACUGCGUACCUUUUGUAUAAUGGGUCAGCGACUUAUAUUCAGUGGCAAGGUUAACCAUCUAGGGGAGCCGUAGGGAAACCGAGUCUUAACUGGGCGUUCAGUCUCUGGAUAUAGACCCGAAACCAGGUGAUCUAGCCAUGGGCAGGUUGAAGGUUGAGUAACAUCAACUGGAGGACCGAACCGACUAAUGUUGAAAAAUUAGCGGAUGACUUGUGGCUAGGGGUGAAAGGCCAAUCAAACCUGGAGAUAGCUGGUUCUCCCCGAAAGCUAUUUAGGUAGCGCCUCGGACGAAUACUACUGGGGGUAGAGCACUGUUAAGGCUAGGGGGUCAUCCCGACUUACCAACCCUUUGCAAACUCCGAAUACCAGUAAGUACUAUCCGGGAGACACACGGCGGGUGCUAACGUCCGUCGUGGAGAGGGAAACAACCCAGACCGCCAGCUAAGGUCCCAAAUUACUACUAAGUGGGAAACGAUGUGGGAAGGCUCAGACAGCCAGGAUGUUGGCUUAGAAGCAGCCAUCAUUUAAAGAAAGCGUAAUAGCUCACUGGUCGAGUCGGCCUGCGCGGAAGAUGUAACGGGGCUAAGUAGUAAACCGAAGCUGCGGCAAUAUACUUUUGUAUAUUGGGUAGGGGAGCGUUCUGUAAGCGGUUGAAGGUGUGUGGUAACGCAUGCUGGACGUAUCAGAAGUGCGAAUGCUGACAUGAGUAACGAUAAAGGGGGUGAAAAACCUCCUCGCCGGAAGACCAAGGGUUCCUGUCCAACGUUAAUCGGGGCAGGGUAAGUCGACCCCUAAGGCGAGGCCGAAAGGCGUAGUCGAUGGGAAACGGGUUAAUAUUCCCGUACUUCUUACAAUUGCGAUGGGGGGACGGAGAAGGCUAGGUGGGCCUGGCGACGGUUGUCCAGGUUCAAGUGCGUAGGCUUAAGA